Molecule: ribosomal RNA, 450 nt
Filed under: uncultured bacterium
Lineage: Bacteria
Description: partial 16S ribosomal RNA
Rfam family: Bacterial small subunit ribosomal RNA
Source: RNAcentral
GUGGGGAAUAUUCCGCAAUGGACGAAAGUCUGACGGAGCAACGCCGCGUGAGUGAUGAAGGUUUUCGGACUGUAAAGCUCUGUUGUUUAGGACGAAAGUGCCUGUUGCAAAUAGUUACAGGUAUUGACGGUACUGAACGAGGAAGCCACGGCUAACUACGUGCCAGCAGCCGCGGUAAUACGUAGGUGGCAAGCGUUGUCCGGAAUUAUUGGGCGUAAAGAGCAUGUAGGCGGGAAUCUAAGUCUGUUGUUAAAAUGCGGGGCUCAACCCCGUAUUGCGAUGGAAACUGGGUUUCUUGAGUGCAGGAGAGGAAAGGGGAAUUCCCAGUGUAGCGGUGAAAUGCGUAGAUAUUGGGAGGAACACCAGUGGCGAAGGCGCCUUUCUGGACUGUGUCUGACGCUGAGAUGCGAAAGCCAGGGUAGCGAACGGGAUUAGAAACCCCUGUAGUCC